This 213-nucleotide long non-coding RNA is filed under the name Brassica napus (rape). RNAcentral describes it as "long non-coding RNA (BNAP_LNC013172)". Lineage: Eukaryota; Viridiplantae; Streptophyta; Magnoliopsida; Brassicales; Brassicaceae. The record is from RNAcentral.
GUUGGAGGCAGCAAUCUUCAGUCGUCCUUCUCCGUACGACGGCAUCGCCGGUUGCAGAUCCCUCCUCGUGUUGCCGGUGCGGUUCUUCUUGGGUGAGCGAGCGAGUCCGAGAUGUGUUUCUCUGUGCAGGUUGUGGCUCAUGGGUCGAUCAGAAGCUGCAAGAGAAGUGUGUUUCAAUGUUUGAGGGCGUCUUUCUCUCCGGUAGCUCGCGAC